Molecule: long non-coding RNA, 1604 nt
Organism: Bombus pascuorum
Lineage: Eukaryota; Metazoa; Arthropoda; Insecta; Hymenoptera; Apidae
Exons: 4
Source: RefSeq, a predicted model, not a curated record
GUGCAUUAUAAAUUCAUAAUUUUAUUUUAUAUACUUUGUUUCAGAUAGAGAAAUGAACAUUGUUUUGCUCAUUAGCAGUUGGUAGAUAAUGAUGUUAAAUCAUGUGACGUAAUUUGAUAUGCUAGUUCCCUUAGAUGGGAACACUAUCAUGCAUGUAUACAACUUUCCAGUGAAGCAAAUAAGAAGAGAAACCUUUGUUUGAGUUAAUGAAUUAAAAACUAUUUGAAAGUGGUGUGUAGAACAGUAUAAAUCAGAGAGAUGACAACCGAAGUUACAUAGUCACAACCUUUCGAAAACUUAAAAGAAUUAUUCGAUAACGUGGGUAAUUUGAAACCAUGACCGGAAAUUGAAUAACUACGAGAUUCAACUGAUUAUGUGUACAGUGGUUUAGAAAUAAGCGCAGAAAGAACGCAGUUAGAAAAAUUGGAUAGAGAAGUACAUCCUAAAACGUUGCUUCGUCAUGAUAUGAAAGGUGGCUGCCUAGAAGACAGGUAAUAGAAAUCGCUAUAUUUAUCAAUUCAUAUAUUAUACAUAAUAUACCCGUGAUUUUUCAGAUUUAUAUAUCGAUCAGAAUCUUAUGAUUCUUACCUAUUUUAUCACUGGAGUGUUAUUGACACGUUUGUGUAUUUUAGUCAUCAUUUCAUAAUUGCGCCACCUUUUGGAUGGAUUAAUGUAGCACAUAAUCAUGGUGUAAAAGUUCUUGGUACUGUAAUUACGGAAAGAGAGAAGGUACCUGGGAUGUAAUACUUGAAUCUCAGGAAGAAGUAAGAAGAUUUGCAGAUGCAUUAAUACUUGUUGCAAAAUUUUAUAAAUUCGAUUUUAUAAGUCUGGUUGUUAAAUAUUGAAAAUACCAUUAAAAAGAUUUCUUUUUAAACUGCGAUGGCAUUUACUUGAAUUAUAACUGGACGAAAUCAAAAUUGGAAAACGGUUUGGCACUUGCAAAAAAUCACAGCAGAGAUAUUCAUGAUAUUUAUGUAGGACUUGAUAUUUGGGGAAGAUGUUGUCCUGGUGGUGGUGGAUUUAAUUCAACAUAUGCUUUACAAAAAAUACGACACGAAGGACUUUCUGUCGCGCUUUUUGGUCCAGGUUGGACUCACGAAUUUUUCGUAUCUAAGACAUUCCAAGAAAUAGAAGAUCUAUUUUGGGCACAGUUGUUUCCUUGUUUAUAGCAAACGGAAGUCAACACGAACCAAUACUAGUUCUCAGCAAUAAUACCGGCUUAAAAUCCAUCGUUCGUUAUAAAUAAAGGGAUUUGGUUACCAACUGGAAAAGAUGAAAGCAGAUAUAUAUGUGUCUGGUUAACAUUAUGAUUAGCUGCCUGUAAGGAAUCUUCAUUUGGACUAGACCAACCACAAUAGCCAUACGGACGACGAUGCGCUAGCCACUAGCACUGCAAUCGAUAAGCAAUACACCAUACCCAAAACAACAGCACAAGAAAUUAGAAGUAUAAUCGAAAAAACAAAAAACAACAAAGCACCAGGAAUCGAUCUAAUCAAUGGCAAAAUAUUGAAAAACCUCCCUCCAAAAGCGAUACGACUAAUCACUAUAAUAUUCAAUGCAAUACUAAGAAUACAAUAUUAUCCUACAUUAUGGAAACAGGCACA